CUUCGCUUAGCCUGGAGAGCCUGCCUCACCUCAUACCCCCACAUUCACUUCCACUGAUCUGAAAACCCGAAAAGCGGUAAAGGCAACCAUAUGGAUGUCUACUCUGAAUUAGUUUUCCAGUUAUUUCAAGUCUGUUCAGGACUGAGAGGGCUUUCCAGAGUCGCCGACUAAUGGGGCCGAGAGAAAGAGAGAAGACAGAAGAAAUAGCAGGCUGUGUUUCUGGGGAUGCUAGGUCGUCUGUGGACGUGCCACAGGUAGUGAGCCUGCCGAUGUUCUUUGGUGGGGAAAUUCUGCUCGGUAACCCGUCGUCACAGCAGAGGCCCUGCGCAGUGAUUGGAGGAGAGCCUUUGCCUGGAGGGAGGCUCGUUCUAUGACUGUGGUGCAUUUUUUAUCGCCGCCCCCACCUCCCCCCGUCCCCCUUUCCCAAGCCAGACUAAACAGAGCUAGUGCUUUGAAGAAAGCCGCUGUUGCAGAAUAACAGCGGCUCAUUUCUUCCUCUGUCUCCCUCUCCCUUUGCCACUUCUCACCUCUCUGUUGUCCGACUUCUAUUGUCUCUUCCUUGGCUCUCAUUUUUCUCAGUCUCUCUUUGUCUUGCUAUCUGCCAUCACAUCUUCCGUCCUGUCUCUCUCCAUAUCUCUCUUUCUCCCUCCCUAUUCCAUUUGGGUGUCCUCGGGUCUCGUCCAGCAGAGACUUUUAUAGAAUUACAAGUUGUG
Molecule: long non-coding RNA, 713 nt
Organism: Esox lucius (northern pike)
Lineage: Eukaryota; Metazoa; Chordata; Actinopteri; Esociformes; Esocidae
Source: Ensembl